AACGUAGGUGGCGAGCGUUAUCCGGAUUCACUGGGUUUAAAGGGUGCGUAGGUGGGCAAGUAAGUCAGUGGUGAAAUCUCCGGGCUUAACCCGGAAACUGCCAUUGAUACUAUUUGUCUUGAAUACUGUGGAGGUCAGCGGAAUAUGUCAUGUAGCGGUGAAAUGCUUAGAUAUGACAUAGAACACCAAUUGCGAAGGCAGCUGGCUACACAAAUAUUGACACUGAGGCACGAAAGCGUGGGGAUCAAACAGG
This 253-nucleotide ribosomal RNA is filed under the name uncultured bacterium. RNAcentral's name for it is "partial 16S ribosomal RNA". It matches the Rfam family "Bacterial small subunit ribosomal RNA", at positions 524 to 776 of the family's 1533-position model. The record is from RNAcentral.